This 1379-nucleotide ribosomal RNA is filed under the name Vibrio sp. MB2. RNAcentral's name for it is "16S ribosomal RNA". It matches the Rfam family "Bacterial small subunit ribosomal RNA", at positions 94 to 1426 of the family's 1533-position model. The record is from RNAcentral. Lineage: Bacteria; Pseudomonadati; Pseudomonadota; Gammaproteobacteria; Vibrionales; Vibrionaceae.
AGCGNCGGACGGGUGAGUAAUGCCUAGGAAAUUGCCCUGAUGUGGGGGAUAACCAUUGGAAACGAUGGCUAAUACCGCAUGAUGCCUACGGGCCAAAGAGGGGGACCUUCGGGCCUCUCGCGUCAGGAUAUGCCUAGGUGGGAUUAGCUAGUUGGUGAGGUAAGGGCUCACCAAGGCAACGAUCCCUAGCUGGUCUGAGAGGAUGAUCAGCCACACUGGAACUGAAACACGGUCCAGACUCCUACGGGAGGCAGCAGUGGGGAAUAUUGCACAAUGGGCGCAAGCCUGAUGCAGCCAUGCCGCGUGUAUGAAGAAGGCCUUCGGGUUGUAAAGUACUUUCAGUCGUGAGGAAGGCAUAGUCGUUAAUAGCGGCGUUGCUUGACGUUAGCGACAGAAGAAGCACCGGCUAACUCCGUGCCAGCAGCCGCGGUAAUACGGAGGGUGCGAGCGUUAAUCGGAAUUACUGGGCGUAAAGCGCAUGCAGGUGGUUUGUUAAGUCAGAUGUGAAAGCCCCGGGCUCAACCUUGGAAAUGCAUUUGAAACUGGCAGACUAGAGUACUGUAGAGGUGGGGUAGAAUUUUCAGGUGUAGCGGUGAAAUGCGUAGAGAUCUGAAGGAAUACCGGUGGCCGAAGGCGGACCCCUGGACAGAUACUGACACUCAGAUGCGAAAGCGUGGGGAGCGGACAGAUACUGACACUCAGAUGCGAAAGCGUGGGGAGCAAACAGGAUUAGAUACCCUGGUAGUCCACGCCGUAAACGAUGUCUACUUGGAGGUUUGUGGCCUUGAGCCGUGGCUUUCGGAGCUAACGCGUUAAGUAGACCGCCUGGGGAGUACGGUCGCAAGAUUAAAACUCAAAUGAAUUGACGGGGGCCCGCACAAGCGGUGGAGCAUGUGGUUUAAUUCGAUGCAACGCGAAGAACCUUACCUACUCUUGACAUCCAGAGAACUUUCCAGAGAUGGAUUGGUGCCUUCGGGAACUCUGAGACAGGUGCUGCAUGGCUGUCGUCAGCUCGUGUUGUGAAAUGUUGGGUUAAGUCCCGCAACGAGCGCAACCCUUAUCCUUGUUUGCCAGCGAGUAAUGUCGGGAACUCCAGGGAGACUGCCGGUGAUAAACCGGAGGAAGGUGGGGACGACGUCAAGUCAUCAUGGCCCUUACGAGUAGGGCUACACACGUGCUACAAUGGCGCAUACAGAGGGCGGCCAACUUGCGAAAGUGAGCGAAUCCCAAAAAGUGCGUCGUAGUCCGGAUUGGAGUCUGCAACUCGACUCCAUGAAGUCGGAAUCGCUAGUAAUCGUGGAUCAGAAUGCCACGGUGAAUACGUUCCCGGGCCUUGUACACACCGCCCGUCACACCAUGGGAGUGGGCUGCAAAAGAAG